UAAAGGUUUCAUUAAUCCAUUCCAAUGAAUUCUACCCAAUUUUCAAUCCAUUCUUCCCAAGUUCUCGUCCACUUCCACUCCUUCCUUCUCCAUCGGCCUCGACGCGAAGUUGAGCUUCUCAGGGACGUCUCGAUCUACUGCUCACUGCUCAGGGACGAAUCGAUUCUACAUUUGACAUUUCCCCCGCCAUCGGCCUCCAACGUUCGAGCAUCGAGCCCUAGAUGCAAGUCACGCACUCACGCAGCCGGUAGCACCUUCGAGCCCUAGAACACGACAGCCAGCAGCAGAGCUUGGAGUCCAUAUUUCCAUCGGCAAUUCGACAAUAGAAGAAGAAGGUGAAGCCCCCUGAUUUGUGUUUUGUGUAUUGUUGCAAUUUUUUCUAUUAUUUAACUUUUUUGAUUUGUGUUUUGACAUUGUUGUAAUUUUUUCAUUUUAACAUAUGAAAUUAGUCUUGAAUUGCUAAAUGAAUGCAUUCUGUAUUUGAUGAAGCCCUCGAGUUCAAUUUGGCGAUUCCUGUCCUGUCCACUGUUGACUGAUUCUUGAAGCCUGGCUGUUCAAGUCUCGGUUUAUUCUGAAAUAUAUAGGUAAACAAAUGUAAAUCAUAUUGGUCUCUCAUUUAAUAGUUACUUACAAUCUUUGAAUUAGGUUUAUUUUUUCUGAAAUAGGCUCUAGUUUUUGAAUUAACCAAUGUGUACCAGUUGGAAAUGAAUCUGUUUUGUGCCUCUUCGGUGCUAAUUUGAGGCCAAUAACAAGGCCAAUUAACCAAUUGCUUGUAGGCUAAUACAAGAAAUUUUGAAGAUGUUCCAGGUAGAGGUCACUGUAGGAAAAAAAAUAUAAGAGUAAUGUUUUUUCACAAAAUGUAGCACGUUUUAACUAAAAAUGAUAUAAAGGAGGCUCGUAAUUCUUGAAUAUGUAUUAUAUGUCAGAGAGUUGUGUUCAUUUCCAAAUGGAUGGACACAUUUUUUGUUGAACACGGGGUCUGCAUUGGUAAAGCAAAGAGUUAACAAUUGAAGUCACUUUAUGAAUAUGCUUUUUGCAUUUUAGAAGUAAAUCGAUAAAGCCCAGAACUAAAUUAUUGUUUUACCUCUAAUCCUGAUGAUGCGACGAGCCUUCGGUCGUACUCCGGACCUUCCUCUCUUGCCAACCUCCCUCUUGGUUUCAGCCUUUCUCGCCUGUACUGUCGCUCAGGUUCUCAAGCCCUUCACUACCUGGUACUCUUUCUUUCCUCUUGAUCUUUUUGUUUACUUUAUCAUAAAAUAAAUGUUGAAUAUUUAUGCGUGGGUAGGUCAAUUUUAUCAAUGGAUCUGUGUUGACUAAAUUGUGAGUCUUCACAUACAAUUGCGUCUUUGAUUUUACCUCAUUUGAUCAUAUUUUGUGUUGUUGGGCCCCUAUUUGAAGAAGUUUUGCUAUAGAUUAGCGUGUGUAAACAUUGAAGGCUGCUCAUUUUCACCACCACACUUGCUUUGAGUUUUCUGGAGAAUAGAGUUGCGUGUGUCUAUGUGGGUUUGUGAAAUCAAGAAAUCAAAAUUAAGUAUAUGUUUAAUAUUGGAGGUCAUGGAUACAGAGAUGUUAAGACUAUGAUUCCAUAAUACCAAGUGAUAUUGCAUUGGAGGUUGUGGUGCCUUGUAGUCAAAUAUGCCAGGUUUUGAAGCUGUAAUGGUGUCAUGGAGCUAUUGAAGUUUAAUGACUGUUAAAUAGCAUAAGUACACUUGUAAAUAACCGUGUUUCUAUGGUUCAUAGUAUGUUUCAUAAACUGCAUAUGAAUGCAUAACCAUAUAGUCUUCUAUGUUUUCUUAUUCAUCUUUACACCAUUUAUUGUACAGUAGCUUAGGCACUUGUCUUGUUGAGCAGGUCAGGAUGAUUAUAAUAGAUUAAGACCAUUGAGCUAUCGUGGGGUUGAUGUCUUUAUUCUUGCAUUUUCUCUCAUUAGCAAGACCAGCUACGAAAACAUCUCCAAAUUCUGUAAGAGUGGCUUUACCACUUUGGUAUGAAUAUUGCCCUUUGUUGCAUUCCUUUCUCUGCAACAACAAGAGAAAAGGCUCAAAUAGCAUAAUGCUUAUAGUUUUUUGUACGCUUAUCUUUUGAUGUUUAGCGGAUUCUUGAAUUGAGGCAUUACGCUCCUAGAGUUCCAGUAAUUCUUGUUGGAACAAAGCUUGGUUAGGAUUUCCUCUUUCCCUUUCUCUUGUUAUGAUGUUAUAAUACUUUGCUGCUUUGUUCUUUUAUAUGAGAAAUAGUGGUAAUCUAAAUAUGCAAGCAACUAGAAAUAGCUCCCAGUUUUCCUUCUUGGAGUUGUAGUCUGCAAGUGCAUUAGGUAGUGAGGAGUAUUUAUCUUCAUGACUUUGUCCAACUAUUCUUUUUCUUUUAUGGAAUUUCAUCACCUUGAACAUCAUGUGAACUUGCUAUUUUUUUAUAAAUUUUGUGAUAGUUCUCUGUAUAAGCUAUCUUCUUUAAUGUAGCUAUACAGGCCUUAUGAUUACGUUUAAUUUUUUCCUCAGUUGCUAUAUAUUGCACAAAUUGUCUGGAUAGGUUGUCCCUCGCUUUUGGAAGUAUUAUUAUAAUUUUUUACUUGUUAUUCCUUUUCUUUUCCCCCCAUUUCGCCAUCGUACUCAUUUGUGUGAGGUUUUUCGGGUCCUGUGCAUUUAACUAAGUGUGGCUUUGCUGCCAUGAUUGUCCAGGUUAUUACCAUAAUUCCUUGCUUUGCCAAGUUUUCUGUUCGGGCAAUCUAUGGGGGGAUCAGUGGCUCUGAAGGUGCACCUGAAACAAUCUGAGUGUGUUAUUGCAGUUUGAGCAGAGUGUGAUAACCAGAUGUUGCUAGAUGUAUAAGCUGUAUUAAAAUUUUAUUCUUAAUUUUGUUUCAUUUUGAAACUUUUUUUUUAUUUAGUUUGUGUUGUAUCACAUUCUAAUGUUCAAGUGUAUGGAUCAAAAAAUUUGUAAUUAAAUUAUCAAGUUUUAUGCAAUUUCAAAAUUUGUUCAGAAUGAAUCA
RNAcentral lists this long non-coding RNA (2983 nucleotides) under Olea europaea subsp. europaea. Lineage: Eukaryota; Viridiplantae; Streptophyta; Magnoliopsida; Lamiales; Oleaceae. The record is from RNAcentral.